Molecule: non-coding RNA, 1231 nt
Organism: Pelobates cultripes (western spadefoot toad)
Lineage: Eukaryota; Metazoa; Chordata; Amphibia; Anura; Pelobatidae
Source: the annotation of a GenBank genome assembly
UAAGAAAUUUGUAGGUGUGUGUGUCUAGGAGGUUAUAGGAAAAUGGACAAGUUAUGGAGAAAGUGGAAGGUGUAUGUCUAAUGAAAAGUUCUGUUAAUAAAAAUAAAAUGAUGUCUGCAUGCUGAUGUAUGUCUGAUUAUAAUAGAGAAGUUUGGGGUGAUAUGAGAAAGGGUACACAAAAUGGGAAGAAUAAAUAGAAAGGUGAAGGUUUCACAGCAGAUUAUGAGAAAAGGGAUAAAAGGUGUGUGUGGUAAACAUGGAGAAAGCUGAAGGUGUGGGGGGAUAUUAGAAAAGGGACAGGUUUUUUUUGGGGUGGGGGGGAGAUUUGGAGAAGGCAGAAGGUGUGGGAGCAGAAUAUGAGGAGAGGGCCGGAAACAGGUAGGUGUGUGUGUGUGUGUGGGGGAGGGGAUAUUUGAACAGCGCUAUGGAAUUUGCUGGCACUAUAUGAAUAAAUAAUAAUAAAGGAACAGUUUUUUUGGGGGGGAGGAUUUGAAAAAAGCAGAAGGUGUAGGGGUAGAAUAUGAGAAAUUGGUGGUAAAAUAUGUACAGACGGACAGCAAGUGGGGGGUAGUAUCUGGAGAGAAGGACACUAGGGGAGUAUGGAAAGAGAAACACCACUGGAGGAAGGGACAAUGUGGGAAGAUGCUCACAGAGGGGCUGGGGGAGGGGAUAAUGAGACACACGGGGAGUUGUGAACAGAGUGACACGCAGAGUGGCUGUGGAAGGGGGAAAAGAGAAACGCAAAGGGGUUGGGGGCAAAAACACAGAGAGGCUCGGGAAGAGGGCAAUGACAGAGAGGGGCUGAGAAGUGAAUAACAACACACACGAAGGGGCUAAGAAUGGGAUAAUGACACACAGAGGGGCUGGAGAAGUGGACAAUGAUACACAUAGAGGAGCUAGGGUAGGAGACUGACAGGAAUAAAAGGAACAUUUGUUUGUUUAAGAACAUUUUGAAAACUUACCUGGGGUUUGCUGGGGCCUCCUCUGCAGCCAGAAGCUCUACCACACAUCUAAGUUCAGUAGUACAGAGCCACAUUUAUUGGCCAUAUGCCAGACCUGCUCAGCAGGAUGUAACUCAGUGGGGCUGAAGGAGUCUGUGACAGGUGCCCGUGACAGGUGCCCGGCAGACCCCAUUUAAGUUGUCAAACUGUUCUUAAAUGGUUUGACUAUUUACUCUUCGAGGGUACCUGGGCACUCCUGCCACCAUAACUACUGAAGAUGGUUAUUGUAC